UUGUGCCCUUGAGGCGUGGCUUCCGGAGCUAACGCGUUAAGUCGACCUCCUGGGGAGUCCGGCCGCAAGGUUUAAACUCAAAUGAAUUGACUGGGGCCCGCACAAGCGGAGGAGCAUGUGGUUUAAUUCGAUGCAACGCGAAGAACCUUACCUGGUCUUGACAUCCACAGAACUUUCCAGAGAUGGAUUGGUGCCUUCGGGAACUGUGAGACAGGUGCUGCAUGGCUGUCGUCAGCUCGUGUUGUGAAAUGUUGGGUUAAGUCCCGCAACGAGCGCAACCCUUAUCCUUUGUUGCCAGCGGUCCGGCCGGGAACUCAAAGGAGACUGCCAGUGAUAAACUGGAGGAAGGUGGGGAUGACGUCAAGUCAUCAUGGCCCUUACGACCAGGGCUACACACGUGCUACAAUGGCGCAUACAAAGAGAAGCGACCUCGCGAGAGCAAGCGGACCUCAUAAAGUGCGUCGUAGUCCGGAUUGGAGUCUGCAACUCGACUCCAUGAAGUCGGAAUCGCUAGUAAUCGUGGAUCAGAAUGCCACGGUGAAUACGUUCCCGGGCCUUGUACACACCGCCCGUCACACCAUGGGAGUGGGUUGCAAAAGAAGUAGGUAGCUUAACCUUCGGGAGGGCGCUUACCACUUUGUGAUUCAUGACUGGGGUGAAGUCGUAACAAGGUAACCGUAGGGGAACCUGCGGUUG
RNAcentral lists this ribosomal RNA (696 nucleotides) under Escherichia coli. RNAcentral's name for it is "bacterial SSU rRNA". It matches the Rfam family "Bacterial small subunit ribosomal RNA", at positions 824 to 1520 of the family's 1533-position model. Lineage: Bacteria; Pseudomonadati; Pseudomonadota; Gammaproteobacteria; Enterobacterales; Enterobacteriaceae. The record is from RNAcentral.